RNAcentral lists this transfer RNA (78 nucleotides) under Candidatus Freyarchaeota archaeon. RNAcentral describes it as "tRNA-Arg". It matches the Rfam family "tRNA". Rfam says of the family: Transfer RNA (tRNA) molecules are approximately 80 nucleotides in length. Their secondary structure includes four short double-helical elements and three loops (D, anti-codon, and T loops). Further hydrogen bonds mediate the characteristic L-shaped molecular structure. tRNAs have two regions of fundamental functional importance: the anti-codon, which is responsible for specific mRNA codon recognition, and the 3' end, to which the tRNAs corresponding amino acid is attached (by aminoacyl-tRNA synthetases). tRNAs cope with the degeneracy of the genetic code in two manners: having more than one tRNA (with a specific anti-codon) for a particular amino acid; and 'wobble' base-pairing, i.e. permitting non-standard base-pairing at the 3rd anti-codon position. RNAcentral also lists the same sequence under 1 other name. Lineage: Archaea; Promethearchaeati; Candidatus Freyarchaeota. The record is from RNAcentral.
GGACCAGUCGCCUAGCCAGGAUAGGGCGCCGGCCUUCUAAGCCGGAGAUCGAGAGUUCAAAUCUCUCCUGGUCCGCCA